RNAcentral lists this ribosomal RNA (270 nucleotides) under uncultured bacterium. Its description in RNAcentral is "partial 16S ribosomal RNA". It matches the Rfam family "Bacterial small subunit ribosomal RNA", at positions 84 to 354 of the family's 1533-position model. The record is from RNAcentral.
CCGGCAUCUUAGUGGCGGACGGGUGAGUAACGCGUGGGUAACCUGCCUUAUACAGGGGGAUAACACUUAGAAAUAGGUGCUAAUACCGCAUAAGCGCACGGGGCUGCAUGGCCCAGUGUGAAAAACUCCGGUGGUAUAAGAUGGACCCGCGUCUGAUUAGCUUGUUGGCGGGGUAACGGCCCACCAAGGCGACGAUCAGUAGCCGGCCUGAGAGGGUGGACGGCCACAUUGGGACUGAGACACGGCCCAAACUCCUACGGAAGGCAGCAG